AUGCUAUCCAAGCCACCCUCUGAUCCGGCCGGCAAGCUCUCGAUCGAAACGAUGGAGGACGAACAAUCAGCCACAUAUACUGUGGAUGACGCCCUUAUAUCUUCAGGUUUUGGGAAGUACCAAAUAUUGAUUCUCUCCUAUGCUGGGAUAGGCUUAAUCGCAGAAGCAAUGGAGAUGAUGCUGCUAUCAUUUGUUGGCCCAUCCGUUCAGUUAGAAUGGAAUCUUACUGCUCACCAGGAAAGCAUGAUUACAAGUGUUGUUUUUGUUGGAAUGCUAAUAGGAGCUUAUUCUUGGGGUGUGGUCUCAGAUAACUAUGGAAGGAGGAAAGGGUUUCUCUUUACUGCCAUUAUGACGAGUGGAGCUGGAUUCCUGAGUGCCUUUUCUCCAAACUAUGUAGCUUUAAUGGCUCUACGGUUUUUAGUUGGUAUUGGCUUGGGAGGAGGACCUGUUCUUGGAUCUUGGUUCUUGGAAUUUGUUCCUGCUCCAAGUAGAGGAACUUGGAUGGUGGUACUCUCAGCAUUUUGGACUGUCGGUACCAUCUUUGAGGCUUCGCUUGCAUGGGUAGUUAUGCCCAAGUUUGGCUGGAGGUGGUUGCUAGCAUUAUCAUCUGUUCCGUCUCUCCUCCUGCUUUUGUUUUAUGCUAUCACACCAGAGUCGCCAAGGUUCCUCUGCAUGAAAGGCAGAACAAUGGAGGCUGUGGAUGUGCUGGAGAAAAUGGCAAGGUUAAACGGUGCACAACUCCCUUCGGGUAAGCUUGUUUCCGACAAGAACAUUGAGCUAGAUGAAGUUUCCGAGUCGGCAACGCUUCUGGCUGCUACUGCUAAAGCUGCUAAAGAAGAAGAAAACGACAACAUCAAGGAAGACGAAGGUUCUGAUUUUGGAGGUUUCAAGUCUGUUUCUAAGCUGCUGUCACCAAAAUUGCUCAGAGCAACUCUGCUUCUGUGGAUGGCUUUCUUCGGGAAUGCAUUUUCUUAUUAUGGUAUUGUUCUGUUGACAUCGGAGUUAAGUAACGGAAAUAGGAUAUGUGCAAAACAGGAGGUUGAAUCUGUACACUCGAACAACUCAAGCCUGUACAAAAACGUGUUUAUUUCUAGCUUUGCAGAGAUUCCAGGGUCAUUCGUGUCGAUCAUGAUCGUGGAUAGAAUUGGGCGAAGGCUUUCAAUGGCUUCGAUGCUCUUCACUAGCUGUGUCUUUUUAUUCCCGCUAGUUUUUUCCCGCACAGAAAUACUGACAAGAAUCUCAUUAUUCGGUGCCCGGCUCUGCAUUUCUGCAAGCUUCACAAUCGUAUACAUAUAUGCUCCCGAGAUCUACCCAACCUCUGUGAGGACAACAGGCAUUGGCGUCGCCAGCUCGGUGGGCAGGAUCGGCGGCAUUCUGUGCCCCCUCGUCGCCGUUGCUCUGGUGCACAACUGCCAUCAGACGACCGCGAUCCUCCUCUUCGAGCUCGUGGUGUUCCUCUCAGGGGUGGCCGUCAUGUUCUUCCCUUUCGAGACGAAAGGCUGUAGGCUCAACGACACCGAGGCCGAUAUGCAUUGA
RNAcentral lists this ribosomal RNA (1536 nucleotides) under Triticum aestivum (bread wheat). RNAcentral's name for it is "partial small subunit ribosomal RNA". The record is from RNAcentral. Lineage: Eukaryota; Viridiplantae; Streptophyta; Magnoliopsida; Poales; Poaceae.